CGGGGCCGAACUAGGAUCGACGGGUGUUCAAAGGCGUUAUUUUUGCCCGGCCUGAGUAUGCCGUGAUUGCUCAAAACCUAUAAGUGCAAACGAUAAUGAAGCACUCGCUAUCGCUGCCUAACCCAUUGACCUCACGGUCAUAAGUUAGAAAGCUACGCGCGGUUGAACCCACCGGGCAACAGAAG
Molecule: small RNA, 185 nt
Filed under: Thalassiosira antarctica
Lineage: Eukaryota; Bacillariophyta; Thalassiosirophyceae; Thalassiosirales; Thalassiosiraceae
Description: partial Alphaproteobacteria transfer-messenger RNA
Rfam family: Alphaproteobacteria transfer-messenger RNA
About the family: Bacterial tmRNA, also known as 10Sa RNA or SsrA, is named for its dual tRNA and mRNA-like properties. Its role is to liberate the mRNA from a stalled ribosome. To accomplish this part of the tmRNA is used as a reading frame that ends in a translation stop signal.
Source: RNAcentral